Long non-coding RNA from Pipistrellus kuhlii (Kuhl's pipistrelle), 2114 nucleotides. RefSeq lists it as uncharacterized. The transcript is spliced from 3 exons. The record is from RefSeq and is a predicted model, not a curated record. NCBI's taxonomy places the organism in Eukaryota, Metazoa, Chordata, Mammalia, Chiroptera, Vespertilionidae.
CUUGAUGGUCAGCACACCAAAUGACAACUGGUGAGCCAUUGGGGGAAACGGUGAGAGUGCACAAGGUGUGAAUGUGCACUCUGGCCUUUUGAUAUACAUGAUUUGGGAGAAGAAAGGACAAUGGUCUCAUUGGCCAACCAGUGAACCUUAGCAACUUCAGUAUUAUAAACAUGCAGCAAUGAGGUAAACUAACACUUCAUUGCCCUUCCCAUUUGUGUUUUAAUUCUGUUACUUUUCCCUUCUUAUCCUAUUCAGUUAGAGUUUAAACUUCCCACUGAGACCAGUGUUGCUUAUACAUAAGCCUUCAGUAUUAAUAAUGUCCCUAAAAUUUGGGAGUACCGAGAAAGUCUUCUGACCCUUGCUUCCUCUCUCAUAAUCCAUCGGAAUGACUACAGGCUGUGCUCCUGAGACAGGGUGCCAUGACAUUUCAGCAAACAUGCCUGAAAGAAGAUCCACCUGCUGCUGCACACGCCUCUGAAGAGUCUUUGGUUCAAGAGGCUCAAAUCCUUUGACCUGAAUGAAGGACCAGCCUUUCUACCCUUUUAGGCUGUGUGCCAGGACUCUAGGCUUCUAAGGUCCCUACUCUGUUUCAAGUCUCCACGGCCAAAACUAAACCAGGUGGCUGAAGAAUGUCCUUUGGGGAGAGAGUGCCUGAACUGAGGGAGAAGUGGACCAGCAUUCCAAAUCACUGUAUCUAUCAAGACCUGUCAGAGUUCAUUCGACAUUGACCAACAAUGAGUGCUACAGAUUCUGCAGUAAACAUCAGCAUGAAACAAUUGAAUCCAAGCAAUUUUAUAGAGAAUUUUGUUUCCUAUGUUAUAUUUGGUCAGAAGCAUAAAGGAUGUUAACUUUUUUUUCCCCCUGAACUCUGCCACUCUGCAGCAACUAUAUUAAGAGGAGCAGAUUAGUAGGUUAUAUAAAGAAGGUCCCCUUGGGUUUAAAAUUUAGAUUGUUAUACUAUUUACUUUUCUCCGCCUUGAGUUCCUAUCUUGCCCAAGACCAUAAGCCCAAGAAUUUCCAGUAUCAUCACAGAAAUCUACACAGUCUUUUAAACAGCUGCUGAAUGUUGAUGGUCUCACGAUUCCUUAAAGGAAUUUCUCUGUGGGUGGGGGAAGUCAUCAUCUAUGACUCAAUUAAAUAUUGCAAGCUCGUCCACAAAAACUAAAGAAAUACUGUGGAUUCUCAGAAUCUCGGAGUAAACUAUUCCCUCUUUCAUAAUUAAGAACUUGGUGAGAACAAACUCCCUAUUGCCUUCUUUCAGUUUAUGUUUAAUGAAAAGACCCCUCUUGGUAAAUGAUAAAAGUAAAUGGGUGACUCCAAAAACUGCAGUGCACCAGUCUCCUGAUUCCGCUUUCACACAUUUCUCCUGGCUCUGACUUCCCAAGGAGAUCACAUUGGUUGAACUGUAGAGCUUUCCUCAAUGUGACAGAUGGAAACAAAGCCAGAGCAAAAGUGAUUUUCUCCAUUGACACACUAAGCAAUACCCUAAACAGCUUCACUUCGCUCAGUGUGAACCCACGGAGAGUACCAAGCAUCAUAGCUCCUUACCGCUGCCUGGCUUCCAUUGCAGGCUGGGCCAGGGAACCAGAGCCUAAUGAGCCCCAUGAAUCUAAAGCUGGAAACUGCUUUGUGUCCAGUUUGUGCUUAGUCCCUCUUUCAUGUCAGGGUUUAUUACAAUAGUCAACUUCUAGUCUGAGUUGAAACCAGGAGAUUAGCAGAAAACUUUGGGCUGGGGAAGGUGCCAGAAAGAUUUCUGUACACAGAUCAAAUUAACAUACACGUUAAUGGAACUGAGUUUACCUCUGAUACUAUGACGAUCCAGUCAUCAAUAAUAAGAGAGGGAAAAUCAUGUACCCUUCUGGCCCAAUAAAAAAUAAAUAAAUAUGAAGGAUCUGCUUUUUAAAUCUUUCUCAAAUUGACUGCUUUUGGCCUUCAGUUUUAUUAGAUUAUUGAAAUUCUAUUGAGCAGUUGUGUUCAAUUUGGUGGCUUCAGACAUAGGACAGAGGUUAGGUGAGUGGUCCUGCUCCCAAAUAAUAAGUCAAACCCUGUGGUCCAGGGGACUUCCAUUCACUACCUAACGUCAAAAGACUUGCUGCAGGCCCCUAUGAUCUUUU